This 253-nucleotide ribosomal RNA is filed under the name uncultured bacterium. Its description in RNAcentral is "partial 16S ribosomal RNA". It matches the Rfam family "Bacterial small subunit ribosomal RNA", at positions 524 to 776 of the family's 1533-position model. The record is from RNAcentral.
UACGGGGGGGGCAAGCGUUGUUCGGAAUUACUGGGCGUAAAGCGCACGUAGGCGGCUUUGCAAGUUAGAGGUGAAAGCCCGGGGCUCAACUCCGGAACUGCCUUUAAGACUGCAUCGCUUGAAUCCGGGAGAGGUGAGUGGAAUUCCGAGUGUAGAGGUGAAAUUCGUAGAUAUUCGGAAGAACACCAGUGGCGAAGGCGGCUCACUGGACCGGUAUUGACGCUGAGGUGCGAAAGCGUGGGGAGCAAACAGG